This 569-nucleotide ribosomal RNA is filed under the name Curtobacterium sp. I12A-00765. Its description in RNAcentral is "bacterial SSU rRNA". It matches the Rfam family "Bacterial small subunit ribosomal RNA", at positions 85 to 667 of the family's 1533-position model. The record is from RNAcentral. Lineage: Bacteria; Bacillati; Actinomycetota; Actinomycetes; Micrococcales; Microbacteriaceae.
GGGUGGAUUAGUGGCGAACGGGUGAGUAACACGUGAGUAACCUGCCCCUGACUCUGGGAUAAGCGUUGGAAACGACGUCUAAUACUGGAUAUGAUCACUGGCCGCAUGGUCUGGUGGUGGAAAGAUUUUUUGGUUGGGGAUGGACUCGCGGCCUAUCAGCUUGUUGGUGAGGUAAUGGCUCACCAAGGCGACGACGGGUAGCCGGCCUGAGAGGGUGACCGGCCACACUGGGACUGAGACACGGCCCAGACUCCUACGGGAGGCAGCAGUGGGGAAUAUUGCACAAUGGGCGAAAGCCUGAUGCAGCAACGCCGCGUGAGGGAUGACGGCCUUCGGGUUGUAAACCUCUUUUAGUAGGGAAGAAGCGAAAGUGACGGUACCUGCAGAAAAAGCACCGGCUAACUACGUGCCAGCAGCCGCGGUAAUACGUAGGGUGCAAGCGUUGUCCGGAAUUAUUGGGCGUAAAGAGCUCGUAGGCGGUUUGUCGCGUCUGCUGUGAAAUCCCGAGGCUCAACCUCGGGCUUGCAGUGGGUACGGGCAGACUAGAGUGCGGUAGGGGAGAUUGGAAU